This 440-nucleotide ribosomal RNA is filed under the name uncultured bacterium. Its description in RNAcentral is "bacterial SSU rRNA". It matches the Rfam family "Bacterial small subunit ribosomal RNA", at positions 339 to 794 of the family's 1533-position model. The record is from RNAcentral.
GUACGGGAGGCAGCAGUGGGGAAUCUUGCGCAAUGGGCGAAAGCCUGACGCAGCAACGCCGCGUGCGGGAUGAAGGCCUUCGGGUUGUAAACCGCUUUCAGCAGGGACGAAUUUUGACGGUACCUGCAGAAGAAGCCCCGGCCAACUACGUGCCAGCAGCCGCGGUAACACGUAGGGGGCGAGCGUUGUCCGGAUUUAUUGGGCGUAAAGAGCUCGUAGGCGGCUCGGUAAGUCAACUGUGAAAGCUCCGGGCUCAACUCGGAGAGGCCAGUUGAUACUGCUGUGGCUAGAGUCCGGUAGGGGAGCGUGGAAUUCCUGGUGUAGCGGUGAAAUGCGCAGAUAUCAGGAGGAACACCAGCGGCGAAGGCGGCGCUCUGGGCCGGAACUGACGCUGAGGAGCGAAAGCGUGGGUAGCAAACAGGCUUAGAUACCCCGGUAGG